Molecule: ribosomal RNA, 292 nt
Filed under: uncultured bacterium
Lineage: Bacteria
Description: partial 16S ribosomal RNA
Rfam family: Bacterial small subunit ribosomal RNA
Source: RNAcentral
GUGCCAGCAGCCGCGGUAAUACGGAGGGUGCAAGCGUUAUCCGGAAUCAUUGGGUUUAAAGGGUCCGUAGGCGGAUUAAUAAGUCAGAGGUGAAAUCCCACAGCUUAACUGUGGAACUGCCUUUGAUACUGUUAGUCUUGAGUUAUAUGGAAGUAGAUAGAAUGUGUAGUGUAGCGGUGAAAUGCAUAGAUAUUACACAGAAUACCGAUUGCGAAGGCAGUCUACUACGUAUAUACUGACGCUAAUGGACGAAAGCGUGGGGAGCGAACAGGAUUAGAAACCCCCGUAGUCC